UUGAGCGCGGCUACCAUGCAGUCGACGAUGAAGGGAGCUUGCUCCUGGAUUAGUGGCGAACGGGUGAGUAACACGUGAGUAACCUGCCCUUAACUCUGGGAUAAGCCUGGGAAACUGGGUCUAAUACCGGAUAUGACUCCUCAUCGCAUGGUGGGGGGUGGAAAGCUUUUUGUGGUUUUGGAUGGACUCGCGGCCUAUCAGCUUGUUGGUGAGGUAAUGGCUCACCAAGGCGACGACGGGUAGCCGGCCUGAGAGGGUGACCGGCCACACUGGGACUGAGACACGGCCCAGACUCCUACGGGAGGCAGCAGUGGGGAAUAUUGCACAAUGGGCGAAAGCCUGAUGCAGCGACGCCGCGUGAGGGAUGACGGCCUUCGGGUUGUAAACCUCUUUCAGUAGGGAAGAAGCGAAAGUGACGGUACCUGCAGAAGAAGCGCCGGCUAACUACGUGCCAGCAGCCGCGGUAAUACGUAGGGCGCAAGCGUUAUCCGGAAUUAUUGGGCGUAAAGAGCUCGUAGGCGGUUUGUCGCGUCUGCUGUGAAAGACCGGGGCUCAACUCCGGUUCUGCAGUGGGUACGGGCAGACUAGAGUGAUGUAGGGGAGACUGGAAUUCCUGGUGUAGCGGUGAAAUGCGCAGAUAUCAGGAGGAACACCGAUGGCGAAGGCAGGUCUCUGGGCAUUAACUGACGCUGAGGAGCGAAAGCAUGGGGAGCGAACAGGAUUAGAUACCCUGGUAGUCCAUGCCGUANACGUUGGGCACUAGGUGUGGGGGACAUUCCACGUUUUCCGCGCCGUAGCUAACGCAUUAAGUGCCCCGCCUGGGGAGUACGGCCGCAAGGCUAAAACUCAA
RNAcentral lists this ribosomal RNA (850 nucleotides) under uncultured Actinomycetes bacterium. RNAcentral's name for it is "bacterial SSU rRNA". It matches the Rfam family "Bacterial small subunit ribosomal RNA", at positions 40 to 904 of the family's 1533-position model. The record is from RNAcentral. Lineage: Bacteria; Bacillati; Actinomycetota; Actinomycetes.